RNAcentral lists this ribosomal RNA (497 nucleotides) under uncultured bacterium. Its description in RNAcentral is "partial 16S ribosomal RNA". It matches the Rfam family "Bacterial small subunit ribosomal RNA", at positions 28 to 507 of the family's 1533-position model. The record is from RNAcentral.
GACGAACGCUGUCGGCGUGCCUAAUACAUGCAAGUUGAGCGCUGAAGGUUGGUACUUGUACCAACUGGAUGAGCAGCGAACGGGUGAGUAACGCGUGGGGAAUCUGCCUUUGAGCGGGGGACAACAUUUGGAAACGAAUGCUAAUACCGCAUAAAAACUUUAAACACAAGUUUUAAGUUUGAAAGAUGCAAUUGCAUCACUCAAAGAUGAUCCCGCGUUGUAUUAGCUAGUUGGUGAGGUAAAGGCUCACCAAGGCGAUGAUACAUAGCCGACCUGAGAGGGUGAUCGGCCACAUUGGGACUGAGACACGGCCCAAACUCCUACGGGAGGCAGCAGUAGGGAAUCUUCGGCAAUGGACGAAAGUCUGACCGAGCAACGCCGCGUGAGUGAAGAAGGUUUUCGGAUCGUAAAACUCUGUUGGUAGAGAAGAACGUUGGUGAGAGUGGAAAGCUCAUCAAGUGACGGUAACUACCCAGAAAGGGACGGCUAACUACGUG